GAGUUUGAUUCUGGCUCAGGAUGAACGCUAGCGGCAGGCCUAACACAUGCAAGUCGAGGGGUAGAGUGCUUCGGCGCUUGAGACCGGCGUACGGGUGCGUAACGCGUGUACAAUCUACCUUUUGCUAAGGGAUAGCCCGAAGAAAUUUGGAUUAAUACCUUAUAGUAUUAUUUGGUGGCAUCAUUAAAUAAUUAAAGCUACGGUGGCAAAAGAUGAGUACGCGUCCCAUUAGCUAGUUGGAGUGGUAACGGCACACCAAGGCUACGAUGGGUAGGGGUUCUGAGAGGGAUGUCCCCCACACUGGUACUGAGACACGGACCAGACUCCUACGGGAGGCAGCAGUGAGGAAUAUUGGACAAUGGUCGGAAGACUGAUCCAGCCAUGCCGCGUGCAGGAUGACGGCCUUAUGGGUUGUAAACUGCUUUUGUAUGGGAAGAAUAAGGUCUACGUGUA
RNAcentral lists this ribosomal RNA (453 nucleotides) under Capnocytophaga cynodegmi. RNAcentral's name for it is "bacterial SSU rRNA". It matches the Rfam family "Bacterial small subunit ribosomal RNA", at positions 9 to 464 of the family's 1533-position model. The record is from RNAcentral. Lineage: Bacteria; Pseudomonadati; Bacteroidota; Flavobacteriia; Flavobacteriales; Flavobacteriaceae.